ACGGGGCAUUGCCUCAGUACGGCGAGUGAAGCGGCAAAAGCUCAAAUUUGAAAUCCUUCGGGAGUUGUAAUUUGUAGGUUGGGAGACCCCGCGGCUAGUGGCACCAAGUCCCUUGGAACAGGGCGCCUUAGAGGGUGAGAGCCCCGUAGGUACCACAAUACCGUCUUGUGUCUCCUCUCCAAAGAGUCGAGUUGUUUGGGAAUGCAGCUCAAAGUGGGUGGUAAAUUCCAUCUAAAGCUAAAUACCGGCGAGAGACCGAUAGCGAACAAGUACAGUGAUGGAAAGAUGAAAAGCACUUUGAAAAGAGAGUGAAACAGUACGUGAAAUUGUUGAAAGGGAAGGGCUUGCAAGCAGACACGGCCUUCGUGCCGGGCCAGCAUCGGUUGCUAGGGGUGGAUAAGGAACAAGGAAUGUAGCUCCUCGGAGUAUUAUAGCCUUGCGCGAUACACCCACUGGCGACCGAGGCCUGCGGUAUUCUUUACCUAGGAUGCUGGCGUAAUGGUUGCAAGCCGCCCGUCUUGAAACMCGGACCAAA
Molecule: ribosomal RNA, 535 nt
Filed under: Sungouiella intermedia
Lineage: Eukaryota; Fungi; Ascomycota; Pichiomycetes; Serinales; Metschnikowiaceae
Description: [Candida] intermedia partial large subunit ribosomal RNA
Rfam family: Eukaryotic large subunit ribosomal RNA
Source: RNAcentral